AUCGAUAUCAGACUGAGUCCAAAACUUGGGGAACAUCAGAAUAUGGUGGAAGGAGUCAUCUGGUGGGUUUUAACUGAAAUCCAAUCUCUAAAACUAUGCAAUACACCAACCACUCCAUUUCAGAAUGAACUUUGUACGAACCUGAAUUGUCCAAUGUCAUGAACCAAUCAAUAUCGAAUUCAGUCCAAAACUUGGGGAACAUAAAAAUUUUGUGGGAGGAGUUAUUUGGUGAGUCUUGAGUAAAAUCCAAUUUCUACAACUAUGCAAUAC
RNAcentral lists this long non-coding RNA (270 nucleotides) under Prunus persica (peach). RNAcentral's name for it is "long non-coding RNA (PPER_LNC007027)". Lineage: Eukaryota; Viridiplantae; Streptophyta; Magnoliopsida; Rosales; Rosaceae. The record is from RNAcentral.